Long non-coding RNA from Nerophis ophidion (straightnose pipefish), 662 nucleotides. RefSeq lists it as uncharacterized. The record is from RefSeq and is a predicted model, not a curated record. The transcript is spliced from 3 exons. Lineage: Eukaryota; Metazoa; Chordata; Actinopteri; Syngnathiformes; Syngnathidae.
UCAUUGGUAAUCCACAUCCAAUGUUAAUAAUCAUCAUGUAACCCAUAUUUAAAAUUCCCAUUAAAACACAUGCAUAGAGUGCAAAUACUUGUAUUUUGAAGGGUUACUUCUUGCCCAAAAUGGCGCUCGCUUCCUUUUAAGGAAGUGCUGCGCACUUCACUCGUCCCUCCUGUCUGCUGUGGCUGCAUGCUGUGAGACGCACUGGAAACAAACUCACAAAAUCUUCUUAUUUUCACACAUUGCAAACAUCAUAAUUAGCCAACCUGUUCUAUUAACUAUCGGGCUGUGCAGGUGUGUUGUUUUGCCCCCGAUUGCUCAGGUCAGGUUUUUUUUCCGGGAAGGAAUACCCGGUGCCCCAAACAACCUGAGCUCCCCAUCCACUUUUACACUCAACUCAACAAAAUGGCGAGCUAAACAACUAUGCAACAAGCAUUUUUUUUCUCCUCUGCUGUGAACCAUUUGGAUUACUUUUGUUUUUUUGAACUGAACUUUUGGACUGACGCAAAAGUUGUUGCAUUUGAACUGAACUGUGGACUGGUUCCGAGAAGGAAGCAGGAUUGUAUCUCGUAUUUCUGUUUUGUGUAUAUUUUAUUUUAUAUUGUGUUAUCUGUGGUAUUUAUGUUCUUGUAUCAAUACAUUUAAUGCAUUCAAAACCGAGAUAA